Molecule: non-coding RNA, 386 nt
Organism: Dermatophagoides farinae (American house dust mite)
Lineage: Eukaryota; Metazoa; Arthropoda; Arachnida; Sarcoptiformes; Pyroglyphidae
Source: RefSeq, a predicted model, not a curated record
CAUUAUUGUGUCUUAUUUUGUUUCUACCAUUGAAAAUACAUUGAAAAUUUCAGUCUCAUUUAAUCAAGUGCGUCAUCCGAUUCAAUCAAUGAUUCCAAACUUGAGAAUUUUAAAUUUUAAUGAAUGGAUUUAGUGCACACACACACACACAAACAAAAAAUAUGAUAAUACUGGCAUCAAUUCCCUUGCCCCUGUGGUGAACCCAAACAACAGAGAUAAUUAAAAAGGAAAAAAAAAUAUGCAAACAGAAUAUAUGAAACAGGAAAAAAAAUAACCAAUAUUGGCAGUGUUCAAUUUGGAUAUACAAAUUAAUAUUUACAGCGAAUACAUGAAUUUACCCCGAAAAAAAAAUAUUUACCGGAAAUAAAAUAAUCAGAAUCAGUGAA